GUGUGUGUGUGUGUGUGUGUGUGUGUGUGUGUGUGUGUGCGUGUGAUAAAGCACUCAGCACUCAUGCGUGGACACACCUCCACUAUGCCACCCAACUGGUUGUUCCAACAGACUCCAGUUGCACAACCGCUCAGUCAACCAAUCAGCUUUCAUUCAGCUUUCAUUCCAAAGCCUUCACUCACACGUUGAUAUUUUAAAGCGAACAACAACAUUUAUUUAACUGACUAAAGAAACAUAUGAUGUGAUGACACACACACAGAGACACACCUCAGAAUUACGCCAUAGGAGGAGAAGUUAUAAGUAUCGUGUUCGGCAAAAACGAAACAAACCUGGAUGAGCUGGACCCCAGAGGAUACAAAAGUGUUGCUGCUGGAAAUCAAUUGGAAGAGUGCUUAAUACCUGGGCUCGGAGCUCUCCUCUACCACAGGUGUGUGCGGUCAGCAGGGGCAGCGAGAGGCAACACUGACAGAGAAGAGUCAUCUCCACAGGGAAGAGUCAUCUCCACAGACAUCGGUGAAAUCAUACACAGGCAGAGGUGAGCCGGAUGAUGGAGAUGGUAAAUGGGGAUCAGGAGGGUGUGAAGGGUGUGGAGCUGGUGGAUGAGUUUCAGGCAGAGCUGAUCGAGCGCGUCAAGGAGACGCGACGGAUCGCCAAGGUGCUCCUGAAACAGGGGCUGCUGGGUAGUGAGGAGCACCAGGCGAUUGUGACGGGCUCCAGCAGCCGUGAGCGCAUGGCUGGGAUCUUCAGGGCGGUGGAGGCAG
Long non-coding RNA from Clupea harengus (Atlantic herring), 761 nucleotides. RefSeq lists it as uncharacterized. The record is from RefSeq and is a predicted model, not a curated record. The transcript is spliced from 3 exons. Lineage: Eukaryota; Metazoa; Chordata; Actinopteri; Clupeiformes; Clupeidae.